This 258-nucleotide ribosomal RNA is filed under the name uncultured bacterium. Its description in RNAcentral is "partial 16S ribosomal RNA". It matches the Rfam family "Bacterial small subunit ribosomal RNA", at positions 96 to 354 of the family's 1533-position model. The record is from RNAcentral.
UGGCGGACGGGUGAGUAACGCGUGGGUAACCUGCCUUACACGAGGGGAUAACACUUAGAAAUAGGUGCUAAAACCGCAUAAGCGCACAGCUUCGCAUGAAGCGGUGUGAAAAACUCCGGUGGUGUAAGAUGGACCCGCGUCUGAUUAGCUUGUUGGCGGGGUAACGGCCCACCAAGGCGACGAUCAGUAGCCGGCCUGAGAGGGCGGACGGCCACAUUGGGACUGAGACACGGCCCAGACUCCUACGGAAGGCAGCAG